This 535-nucleotide ribosomal RNA is filed under the name Prosoeca torquata. RNAcentral describes it as "partial large subunit ribosomal RNA". It matches the Rfam family "Bacterial large subunit ribosomal RNA", at positions 1813 to 2620 of the family's 2925-position model. The record is from RNAcentral. Lineage: Eukaryota; Metazoa; Arthropoda; Insecta; Diptera; Nemestrinidae.
AAACAUGUCCUUUUGAAUUUAAUUUAAGGUCUGACCUGCCCACUGAAUAGUUGAAUGGCCGCAGUAUUUUGACUGUGCAAAGGUAGCAUAAUCAUUAGUUUUUUAAUUGAAGGCUUGUAUGAAUGGUUAGACAAGAUAUAUAUUGUUUCAUAUAAAAUUAUAGAAUUUUAUUUUUUAGUUAAAAAGCUAGGAUUUAAUUAAAAGACGAGAAGACCCUAUAGAUCUUUAUAAUUGCUGGAUCUUAUUAAUUAAGAAUAUUUUUUGUUUGAUUUACGUAAUUAUUUUAUUGGGGUGAUAGUAAGAUUGAUUUAACUCUUAUGAGUAAGUAACAUAAAUUAAUGGUUUAUUGAUCCAAUAUUAUUGAUUAUUAAAAUAAGUUACCUUAGGGAUAACAGCGUAAUUUUUUUGGAGAGUUCAUAUCGAUAAAAAAGAUUGCGACCUCGAUGUUGGAUUAAGAGAUAAGUUUGGGCGCAGCCGUUCAAAUUUGAAGUCUGUUCGACUUUUUAAUUCUUACAUGAUCUGAGUUCAAACCGGA